Daucus carota subsp. sativus is the source of this 1200-nucleotide long non-coding RNA. RefSeq lists it as uncharacterized. NCBI's taxonomy places the organism in Eukaryota, Viridiplantae, Streptophyta, Magnoliopsida, Apiales, Apiaceae. The record is from RefSeq and is a predicted model, not a curated record. The transcript is spliced from 3 exons.
CUAAAAGGUUCUCUCUGCUUGUAUACCUAAUCUUAUAUAAGGUUGAGCAAUGCAUAGGAUUUCAAUUUAGAUUUUCGAACAUUUGGUUUGUCGUGUGUGUACUACCUUUGUUCAUUGUGGAGUUGGUGAUUGACUCUUAUUGUCUGUGUGCAUCUAGCCUGGUGUAUGGUCCAUAUCAAAAUAAAAUUUCGAGACAAAUGCGAUUGAAAGUUUCUGUGAUCUGGUAAUUUGGUUUCCAGAAACGAAGUGAAGAGUUUGCAAGUGCACCUGUGGAAAAUUUAGAGCAAUGCAGAAGGUAAUGUUUUUUUUUCUUUUGCUAAAUGCAAAAGGUAAUGUUGAUCUAAUGGAAGUACUACUUUGGUGCCCAAAUCCUCCAUUGCGCGUAGUUCCAAAAUUGUCCAGUUUGCUGUAUUUUCUACCCAUGUGGCAUCUUUCAACAUAGCAGUCACUUGGUUUACCCUUUGCGAGUAUUCAAAGUCGUUUUCUAUAUAUUCCGGAACCGGUUUAUCGAAAAGUUGCACCUAUAAGUAAGGUAUUACUAAUGGCAGCAGUGUUGUUUAUUGAUUUAUGUUGUAUUUGGUUGGGAUGAAUGAUAUCGGAAGGAAUGGAAUGAAAAAUGAACUAUUUUAUGGAUGAUUUUUAAGAAAUUUCAUUCAUUCCUCCAUUCCAUUCCCUACAUCAUAUGCUAGAUAUCACCCCUUCCAUUUGAGAUGGAAUGCUCCAUUCUCCCACAUACUCAAUUUCUUCUCAAAUCUCAUCAUAGCAAUUUUGCACUCUUUCAAAUUUUUUCAAAACUUUCUUCCUAUCUCUAUUAGUUUCAAGUAUUUUUUACUCAUUCCAUUCUCCCCAACCAAACACAACAUUAUUGUUUUGUGGGAUACUUGAGCAGCGGCCGUAGUGUUCUGAAUCUAAAUAGUUAAGUCUGGUUUUUAAUCACACUGGAUAGCUCUUCGUGUAUGUUUCAUGUUGGUCGAUGUUGCCUUGCUUUCACAUGAUGCCUUGAGAUCUGCUGUAAGCUAUCUCUUCGCGAGGCUUGUGAUAACCUCUAUACAUUUUUUUCACGAAAUGUGGUCGACAUAUUGGUGUUUUAUUUGGAGUUAGUGAUUACGAACUAUAUAAGUGGCAGGUUGUCGAGGCUUAUUGUUGAAUCAUAUUUUCUAUAACAAACAUGAAGAGAGGCAGGGGAAAAUAGGAUUUAAG